RNAcentral lists this unclassified non-coding RNA (5655 nucleotides) under Hevea brasiliensis (rubber tree). Lineage: Eukaryota; Viridiplantae; Streptophyta; Magnoliopsida; Malpighiales; Euphorbiaceae. The record is from RNAcentral.
AAAAAAAUAAAAAUUAAACAUUAUUAUACGGAAACCAAUGAUAUUCUUUUCUUUAUAAAUAAUUUAUUUCAAAGGUUAUCAGGUAAAAUUCUUUAGCAGUGUUGGCGUCAAUUUUCACGAAAAAAGGGUAAAAAUUAAAAGUAUAAAGGGCAAAAAGAGGAGAGCUGAAAACGUGAUGGUUGAGCACUCUUGAAGCCGGCGUAAGUAAGGAGAGAGCUGGGCUUUCGAGAACGAGGAAGAGCUGACGCUGAGGCUUCGCUGCACACAAAUCGCUGAAAAAUUAAAACAUAAAGAACCGAUGCUACCAACCAAAUCAAGGAAGGCUUUGCUUGCCUCGCAACAACUCUUCAACAACACCGCAAUCUUCUCUAUAUCUUCUUCUUCUUCUGGUGCUGCUGCUGCUCUUUUCAGUCUUCUGAAUCUCAAUAUCCCUACCCGCCAACAAUUCUUCUACUCUUGUUACUGUUCCUAUUCGACUGCCCAUGCAAUUCCAGUUCAACAUCUCAGCUUCAAUCACAAGGAUGUGGUUCAAUCCUUUAAGGAAUGGUUUCAGCGCAGAAACUCUGGAUACUUGGAUCUGGUUUUCGAGAUUUUAAGCACCCAAGAUGAGGUGGAUGACCUUGCCCUCUCUCAAUUGGGUCUCCACCUCACCGAGUCAUUGGUCCUGGAAGUGCUUCAUCAUGGCAAUGGCAAGAAUGAUGUACUCUCUUGCCUUAAGUUCUUCGAUUGGGCUGGUCAUCAACAUGGGUUCUAUCACACUCGCGCUACCUUCCACGCCAUUUUCAAGAUCCUCUCUAAGGCCAAGCUUAUGCCUCUCAUGCUUGAUUUCCUUGAUAAGUUUAUGACUUCCAGGUUUGUUCAUCAUAAGUUUGGUUAUGGAUUUUAUGGUACUUUGGUAAUUGGGUACUCUGUGGCUGGGAAGCCGCAAGUUGCACUCCAACUGUUCAGUAAAAUGCGAUUUCAGGGUCUUGACUUGGAUGGCUUUGCUUACCAUGUCCUUCUCAAUUCUUUGGUCGAGGAGAGUUAUUUUGAUGUCGCUGACUGUAUUGCCAGGCAGAUUUCUCUGAGGGGGUUCGAGAACCAUGUAACGCGUUGUAUAGUAGUUAAGAGUUUGUGUAAGCAGGAACUGUUGGAUGAGGCCGCGUCAUAUUUGCGCCGGGUGAUCCUACACGGCGAUGGUUAUCGCCAUGGGGAUGCGGUGGGGGUUAUUAUGGAUGCGCUUUGUCAAAAUGGUCGGUUUGACAAGGCAGGGCAGUUGGUUGAGGAGAUUAGGGAGUUGGGGGUGGUGCCCGUGGAGCCCGCAUAUAGGGUGUGGCUUAGGAAUCUAGUUCAAGCUGGUAAGCUUGAUACGGCUUUAAAGUUCUUGCAGCAGAAGAAGUCAUUAGAUUGCUAUGUUCCUGGGGUUUGCGAGUAUAAUGCUUUGCUGUGGAGGGUCUUAAAAAAUAACCGUCUUGCAGAAGCGUGUGAUUUGCUGAUGGAGAUGAUGGAGAGUGGUAUUUCUGCUGAUAAGGUCACAUUUAAUGCUGCAUUGUGUUUCUUUUGCAAAGCUGGAAUGGUAGAUGUUGCACUUGAAUUGUUCAAUUGCAAAUCAGAGUUUGGGCUCUCACCUAGUAGCAUGGCUUGUAAUUAUCUCAUAAAUUCUCUAUGUAGGGAGGGGAACAUUGAUGAGGCUUACAAUUUGUUGACGAAUUUUACCGAGCAUGAUUAUUUCCCUGGUAGAAGAACAUUUUCUGUACUUGCAGAUGCAUUGUGUAGAGAAGGGAAGGUUGAUAUGAUGAAAGAGCUUGUUUCUGUUGCUCUAGAGCGAAAUUUCAUGCCAAGUGAUUACCAAUUUGAUAAGUUUAUAUCGGCUCUAUGCAGGGCUAGGAGGCUAGAAGAUGCUUACUUGAUGCAAGAUGAACUUAAUACAAUGAAUAUAGUUGCUAGAAAGACUACUUACUCAAACUUGAUUUAUGGUUUUAACGAAUUAAAAAAGGGAGAUAUUGCUGCUAGGCUUUUUAUUGAAAUGCAAACUAAAGGUUAUAUGGGUACUCGGACUCUGUUCAGAGCUGUAAUUGGCAGUUUGUGCGAUAUGCCAAACCCAGAAACUCAAUUCUUCAAAUUGUUGGAGGUGCAACUCUCUCUUCGUGAACCUAACUGUCAGAUAUAUAACUUCUUCAUUGAUGGAGCUGGACAUGCAAAGAAACCUCAACUAGCCAGAGAAGUAUUUGAUAUGAUGCAGAGAAGUGGGAUUGAGCCUAAUCUGGGUUCUGAUAUUCUUAUGUUACAAAGUUAUAUAAAGAGUGAGAAAAUAUAUGAUGCUCUAAAUUUCUUUGAUGCUUUGCGUCACAGAAGAAAGAUUGGCAGAAAGCUAUACAACACCAUGGUUGUUGGUCUUUGUAAAGUCAACAAAGUGGAUAUUUCAUUGUCCUAUUUGAGGGAAAUGCGGAGUAAUGGAGUGGUUCCUAGUGCUGAAUGUUAUGAGGAGCUUAUAAAGCUGCUUUGCUCAAAUGAACAAUAUGAAAUGGCAGUAAAUCUUAUUAUUGACUUGGAGAUAGCUGGGCGCCAUGUUACAUCCUUCAUAGGUAAUGUACUUUUGUUGCAUUCAUUGCGAAGUGGAAAGCUCUAUGAUGCUUGGGUUCGAGUAAGGGAGAUGCAGGAUGUGAUUUCUCCCAUUCUUUUAGUCCUUGGCCAACUCACUGGGAUAUUUUCACGUCGUGUUCAACUGAUUGAAGAAAUUAACAACUUGGAAGAAGUAAUUGAGCAAUGCUUCCCACUUGACCUUUUCACAUACAAUAUAUUGUUGAGGAGGCUAAGCAUCAGUAAAAUGGAUGAUGCUCUUGAGUUGUUUGAUAGACUUUGCCAGAAAGGUUAUGAACCUAAUCAAUGGACUUAUGAUAUCUUAGUACAUGGCCUUUUUAAGCAUGGAAGGAAAGAUGAGGCUAGGAAAUGGGUAGAUGAGAUGUUUAGGAAAGGGUUUGAUCCAACUCAUUGUACCUACCAACUCCUGAAUGGUAAAGCAAGUUAAAACAUUCGAAGUUCUACAAAAUUUUGCAAGGGAAAAAAAUUGGAUGCCUGAAGGUGAUUUAUCACAUGGAAUAUCUCAUUCUUCUUGGUGCAGUUUUAUUAAUCAUUUGUAAGAGAAAGAGUAAUGUGUAAUUUAUUAUUGUUGCUGUUCACAAUGGCAUUGGAUAAAAUUAAAAUGUAAUGUAGGACUGCCAUGAAAUUCAUAUUUUAGAGCAAUUGUAUGAUCAAUAUAAGUGGUUUAAAGCACAGAAAUGCAAGAGCUAAAUAAAUUAUUUAACAGUUACUUUGAUAAUAUCUGUGCAUUGAAAGGUGUAGGAUUCUUGUUCUUAACCUUACUUUAUCUGAGAAAGACAAAGCCUGACCAAAUGGGAUUCUAUUGGUAUAAAAAUUUGUCCUCUAUUGUGUGUAUGUACAUUGAUUUAGACGAUAUAAUCAAUAGUUUCCUUGUGGAUUAUAAUGAUUAUAAGUCUGUCGUCUUCUUCUAUGGUCAUAUUCAUAACUACAGUGACACCAUGUCAUUUUUAUUUUAUUUGUCUUGAGUCUUUCUUUGUUCUUCUCUUUUGGGUGCACAAACUACUUUUUCAAGUUGCAUUAGUUAUUUGUUUUGGAUCAAAAUUGGUGUCAUUAAGAUUAAGGCUAUGCUCAAUUGCUCACUAGCUAAAUGCAUGCUCUUUUAGUGAAAGCACAUACAGUAUCCCAAGUACCAUCAGACUGAAAAUACUUAUUCUCAUUUUUUGUAUCAUAUGAUCAAUCAAAUGAUGUUAAAUUGGUAAUUUUUUACUUUCUUCGAUUUGUUGAACUUUUAUGCCAGUACUAUCUGUUACUGCCUGGCUGUGUCUAGGUUUAGCCCCAAAUAUUUCUGUGAAUAUGAAAUAGUGUUUUUGGCAAUUUUAUUGCAAUAUGUUUGUCAAAAUUACAGUGGGAAGUGCUUGAAAAUGUAUAUGCACUGCAUCAAGUUUGUUUCAAUUGAAAUGGAUAGAAGUUGUACUCUUGAUUCCAGUUUCUGGUUUUGCUGACAAACUGUUAUGGUUAUUGGCAGUUUUGUUGUUUUACUGCGACACUUUCGGCAGUACAAUGUUUGCUUUGUGCCUAGCUGUGGCUUAUCCCAACUCAUGUUUGUCUGCUAUGGUGCCUUUAUAGGGUCUUUUCAAUUUUCACUAUUGGGCUUGGCUGAUUGCUACUCAGUUUGAUCUCAUGAAUUUAAGUUCUUGUUUGUUCUCAACACUUUUGUGCCUAUUAUGUGCAUUCUCCUCUUGUUUACUAUUCUGGCAUCAAUUACUGUCCUCUUGUUUUCAGUUGAAUCUUGUAGCCAGCAUGCUGGUUUCUCCAUAUUUUGUUUAUCUGCUGUAAACUCCAAGGGAACUAUGCUGAAGCUUUUAGUUGAUAGCUGUAUGCUGGAGAUUGCAGAGAACUGAUCCCCUUAUCACCUCUGUCAAUGGGUGUGUGCCAUGUGCAACAGUGCCUAGAUUGAUUUUGCCUUAUUUGAAAGAGGAGGUAGCCUAAUUAUUAUAUUUUUCUGUUGCUAUUUCUUUUUUUGUUUUUAAUGAUGAUUUACAUUUUAUCGAUGCCAUUAAUAUUUUUAUUAUUUAUGUGGGAAUAAUGGAUAAAAAAAAAGAUGGGAAAGAGCUCGGUUGUGAAAAAGUCAAUUGAAUUUGAUCCAUGCGGUUAAGAAUGGAUAAUUAUGAGUGCAUUCAGCAGAAUUACUAUGAUUAAUUGUUGCGGAGAUGUCUGAAAAUGAAUAUGGAAUUGGUGUAUGUAAAAGUGGAUAAAGAAAUCAGCAAAUGUCAAGUUGAACAGAUUUUGGAGAGUUGAUUCAUCAGGCUUUCUUUUUUUUAAGCUUAAUUAACAUGUAGAUAAUUAGUUUUAUAGCAAAUCAACCUUUAUCUAAGCUUAUAUAAUACUCUUCUUUCAAAAAGAUCAACCUUGCUAAUUAGUUGUGCCAUGUCUUGCUUCUACUCAGCUAAGCAGGGUUGUGUCCUACACGUCUAAACUCCUUUCAUUCUAUCUGCUCUAACAUUUUAAUCAUAAAUCUCUUCCUUAUGUUUUUCUCUUCCAGUUUUCUCCUAAAUAAGAGCAUGAAAGUGAAUUUAAUUACCUUUUGAUUGCUGUAAUAUUAUUUGUCCCACCUAAUUUUGUAUCACCUUGGGUAGCACAGACGUAACAACCAUUUGUUUUUUUUGAUGGAACGUACUAACUAUUUGUUAACACUUCACGCUAAUAAUUCUUAGGUGGAUAUAAUUUAUGACAAAUAGAAUGAUGUUACUUCAGGUGAGAAAAACUUAGCAUCAUUCCUGUACUUAGCAUGACUUUUUAACUAUGCAGGAAAAUCAUCUCAAGCUUUCUGCAAGGCAAAUGCAGAGCCCCAUUGUUGCAUCAAUCUGUUGACAUAACAUUUUGGACAGCGAUCUCUUGGCAAAAAUCAAAGGCAUGAAAAUGGUAGUUUUCAACCUCAUUUGGGUAGCUGGAAUAACAGCCAAGGAUAAUAUUAUUCUUAAGUGACUUAUCUUAAUCCAGCCAUAUAGGAUGAAUUGUUUUCUUUAUUAUUUAGGAUUUGACUUUGUUGAGAAGUACUUCAAAAAUAUUUUAAAAUUUUAAAUAUAUCAUGCUAAUAUAGAGAAGCAAAUCACCGAUAAGUAUGCAACGGAAACU